Molecule: ribosomal RNA, 561 nt
Filed under: Alternaria sp. DZ-4-3-2
Lineage: Eukaryota; Fungi; Ascomycota; Dothideomycetes; Pleosporales; Pleosporaceae
Description: eukaryotic LSU rRNA
Rfam family: 5.8S ribosomal RNA (bases 196-349)
Source: RNAcentral
UCGUAGAGGGUGACUGCGGAGGGAUCAUUACACAAAUAUGAAGGCGGGCUGGAACCUCUCGGGGUUACAGCCUUGCUGAAUUAUUCACCCUUGUCUUUUGCGUACUUCUUGUUUCCUUGGUGGGUUCGCCCACCACUAGGACAAACAUAAACCUUUUGUAAUUGCAAUCAGCGUCAGUAACAAAUUAAUAAUUACAACUUUCAACAACGGAUCUCUUGGUUCUGGCAUCGAUGAAGAACGCAGCGAAAUGCGAUAAGUAGUGUGAAUUGCAGAAUUCAGUGAAUCAUCGAAUCUUUGAACGCACAUUGCGCCCUUUGGUAUUCCAAAGGGCAUGCCUGUUCGAGCGUCAUUUGUACCCUCAAGCUUUGCUUGGUGUUGGGCGUCUUGUCUCUAGCUUUGCUGGAGACUCGCCUUAAAGUAAUUGGCAGCCGGCCUACUGGUUUCGGAGCGCAGCACAAGUCGCACUCUCUAUCAGCAAAGGUCUAGCAUCCAUUAAGCCUUUUUUUCAACUUUUGACCUCGGAUCAGGUAGGGAUACCCGCUGAACUUAAGCAUAUCAAAA